UACGUAGGGGGCUAGCGUUGUCCGGAAUCAUUGGGCGUAAAGAGCGUGUAGGCGGCCCGGUAAGUCCGCUGUAAAAGUCAAAGGCUCAACCUUUGAAUGUCAGUGGAUACUGCCGGGCUAGAGUCCGGGAGAGGCGAGUGGAACUCCUGGUGUAGCGGUGGAAUGCGCAGAUAUCAGGAAGAACACCGACGGCGAAGGCAGCUCGCUGGGACGGUACCGACGCUGAGACGCGAAAGCGUGGGGAGCGAACAGG
This 253-nucleotide ribosomal RNA is filed under the name uncultured bacterium. Its description in RNAcentral is "partial 16S ribosomal RNA". It matches the Rfam family "Bacterial small subunit ribosomal RNA", at positions 524 to 776 of the family's 1533-position model. The record is from RNAcentral.